RNAcentral lists this ribosomal RNA (335 nucleotides) under uncultured bacterium. Its description in RNAcentral is "partial 16S ribosomal RNA". It matches the Rfam family "Bacterial small subunit ribosomal RNA", at positions 338 to 670 of the family's 1533-position model. The record is from RNAcentral.
CCUACGGGAGGCAGCAGUGAGGAAUAUUGGUCAAUGGGCGGAAGCCUGAACCAGCCAAGUAGCGUGCAGGAUGACGGCCCUACGGGUUGUAAACUGCUUUUAUACGGGAAUAACGCGCCUUACGUGUAGGGCUUUGCAUGUACCGUAUGAAUAAGGACCGGCUAAUUCCGUGCCAGCAGCCGCGGUAAUACGGAAGGUCCGGGCGUUAUCCGGAUUUAUUGGGUUUAACGGGUGCGUAGGCCGCAUGUUAAGCUUGCUGUGAAAUGUCCGGGCUCAACCCGGGCCCUGCAGUGCGAACUGGCGUGCUUGAGACCGCGGAAAGCAGGCGGAAUUCG